GAUGAAGAACGUAGCGAAAUGCGAAAAGUGGUGUGAAUUGCAGAAUUCAGUGAAUCAUCGAAUCUUUGAACGCACAUUGCGCCCGCCAGCACUCUGGCGGGCAUGCCUGUUCGAGCGUCAUUUCAACCAUCAAGCCCCCAGGGGCUUGUGCUGGGGCCCUGCGGCUGCCCGCAGGCCCUGAAAACCAGUGGCGGGCUCGCUAGUCACACCGAGCGCAGUAGCACAUCUCGCUCAGGGCGUGCGGCGGGCUCCUGCCGUGAAACCCCCCACUGUAACCCCAAAGGUUGACCUCGGAUCAGGUAGGAAUACCCGCUGAACUUAAGCAUAUCAAUAAGCGGAGGA
Molecule: unclassified non-coding RNA, 342 nt
Filed under: soil metagenome
Description: partial contains 5.8S ribosomal RNA, internal transcribed spacer 2, and large subunit ribosomal RNA
Rfam family: 5.8S ribosomal RNA (bases 1-120)
Source: RNAcentral